This 561-nucleotide long non-coding RNA is filed under the name Pan troglodytes (chimpanzee). RNAcentral's name for it is "long non-coding RNA NONPTRT009506". The record is from RNAcentral. Lineage: Eukaryota; Metazoa; Chordata; Mammalia; Primates; Hominidae.
CCCUGUGCUGGCCCCUCCUGCAACAAUCGGGAGCCCCCACCUCAGUCGGCGCUGCAGAACCAGCCCAGGAGAGCAGCUGGCCUGUCAUCUGCUGAGGAGCGGAGGCGUGCGGGGAUCCGGAGGGGAAGGGGGUCUGGAGUGCUCCCGGGGAGACCCUCAGGGACUGCCCUGCUGCUGGCAGCGCCUGGGCCCAGGGCUGAUGGAGGCGUCUCCUGGCCUCCAGGGCUGUGCCCAGGACUGCAAUGGCCUCCCACACUACCUCACUACCCUGGUCCAGGCUCACUGACAGAUGAGGAAACUGAGGCAGGGGCCCCAGUCUCACGGCCAUUGGUGCAGAGCUGGGAUCCAAGACCGGGUGGGCUCUUUGUUAUUACUUCCUCCAAGGACAAGCCCAGGUUCUCCAGGGUGUGGGGUCCACGUGUGGCCACAGCGGGCCUUAGAGACAGACAGGCCUGGGCGGGGGGAGGGGUGGGUGGGCAAGGCCUUAGAGACAGGCCUGGCGGGGGAGGGGCCGGGCCUGUGCGCUGGCAGUGGUGGCACCACGGGGCCCUUGGGGACACC